GACGAACGCUGGCGGCGUGCUUAACACAUGCAAGUCGAACGGAAAGGCCCUGCUUUUGUGGGGUGCUCGAGUGGCGAACGGGUGAGUAACACGUGAGUAACCUGCCCUUGACUUUGUGAUAACUUCAGGAAACUGGGGCUAAUACCGGAUAGGAGCUCCUGCUGCAUGUUGGGGGUUGGAAAGUUUCGGCGGUUGUGGAUGGACUCGCGGCUUAUCAGCUUGUUGGUGGGGUAGUGGCUUACCAAGGCUUUGACGGGUAGCCGGCCUGAGAGGGUGACCGGCCACAUUGGGACUGAGAUACGGCCCAGACUCCUACGGGAGGCAGCAGUGGGGAAUAUUGCACAAUGGGCGGAAGCCUGAUGCAGCAACGCCGCGUGCGGGAUGACGGCCUUCGGGUUGUAAACCGCUUUCGCCUGUGACGAAGCGUGAGUGACGGUAAUGGGUAAAGAAGCACCGGCUAACUACGUG
This 468-nucleotide ribosomal RNA is filed under the name uncultured bacterium. Its description in RNAcentral is "partial 16S ribosomal RNA". It matches the Rfam family "Bacterial small subunit ribosomal RNA", at positions 28 to 507 of the family's 1533-position model. The record is from RNAcentral.